UACGGAAGGUGCGAACGUUGCUCGGAAUCACUGGGCAUAAAGAGCUCGUAGGCGGUCCGUUAGGUCAGGGGUGAAAUCCCUCGGCACAACCGAGGAAUUGCCUUUGAAACCGGCGGGCUAGAGGGCAGGAGGGGAGAGCGGAAUUCCUGGUGGAGCGGUGAAAUGCGUAGAUAUCAGGAGGAACGCCGGCGGCGAAAGCGGCUCUCUGGUCUGUUCCUGACGCUGAGGAGCGAAAGCUAGGGUAGCAAACAGG
RNAcentral lists this unclassified non-coding RNA (253 nucleotides) under uncultured Planctomycetota bacterium. RNAcentral describes it as "uncultured planctomycete contains 16S-23S intergenic spacer region". It matches the Rfam family "Bacterial small subunit ribosomal RNA", at positions 524 to 776 of the family's 1533-position model. Lineage: Bacteria; Pseudomonadati; Planctomycetota. The record is from RNAcentral.